CUACGGGUGGCAGCAGUAAGGAAUAUUGGUCAAUGGACGCAAGUCUGAACCAGCCAUGCCGCGUGAAGGAUGAAGGUCCUCUGGAUUGUAAACUUCUUUUAUAGGGGGCGAAAAAAGGGAAAUCUUUCUCACUUGACAGUACCCUAUGAAUAAGCACCGGCUAACUCCGUGCCAGCAGCCGCGGUAAUACGGAGGGUGCAAGCGUUAUCCGGAUUCACUGGGUUUAAAGGGUGCGUAGGCGGGCGUAUAAGUCAGUGGUGAAAUCCUGGAGCUUAACUCCAGAACUGCCAUUGAUACUAUAUGUCUUGAAUAUGGUGGAGGUAAGCGGAAUAUGUCAUGUAGCGGUGAAAUGCAUAGAUAUGACAUAGAACACCUAUUGCGAAGGCAGCUUACUACGCCUAUAUUGACGCUGAGGCACGAAAGCGUGGGGAUCAAACAGGAUUAGAUACCCUGGUAGUC
This 459-nucleotide ribosomal RNA is filed under the name uncultured bacterium. RNAcentral describes it as "partial 16S ribosomal RNA". It matches the Rfam family "Bacterial small subunit ribosomal RNA", at positions 339 to 795 of the family's 1533-position model. The record is from RNAcentral.